GGGGGAGGUGUAUGGGGAGCGGUGGCAGCAGGAGAUGAAGGGAGAGGGAGGAGGUGGCAAGACAAAACCCAAUUUUCCCCCCUUCCUUUUUAAUUCUUUCUUCUGGUGUGUCUGCUCCACCGCCCGGCUAAUCCCCCAAAUCCGGUCUCCUAAGCUGCAGCUGCUUCCCUGCCGCAGUGAUGAAUGGCUCAGGGAGGGAAGGUGAAUUCAUAUUUUAAUUACCGAGAUCUCCUCCAGUGAAUGGCCCUCAGCCAGGAGUAGGGAAUGCCCCAGUUCACCUUUGCCUGCUUCUGUGGACUCCAUGGCUUCUGCAAAAUGAAGAGGAAGAAAGAGGAUACCCACAGACAGCGAGAGACAGCAGUGUGAGCGGAAACAGGGACUGUACCAUUUGCCUGGUCAGGUUACCCCCUUGCUCCUUCCUGAGGGAUUCUUUCAUUUGGCGCCUUUUCAGAUUCCCGAUGUUAGGCUCCCACCUGGGGGUUGGGACUUUGAAGUAGAAGAUAUAAUUUGUGGCCUCCCCUAUGCUUUACAUCCCAGUGCCUCAUCUCAUUUAGCCCUUCAAUGGACGUUGGGACUUUUCUGAAGGCAGAAUGGGGAUGUUUGGGAUGAUCCCAGGUGAUUUGAGAAGAAGUAGAUGCUUAGCCCAGAGACAAAGCCAGGGGGUCCUUUCCUAUUCAAGCUGAUUCAAAACAUAAAUAUCACCCCAACUGGCCCCUCUCCCUUUGCUUUUCUUCUGUACCCUCCAAUCCUCCAGCCCAUACCCAGAAACCUCCCUGCUUAGGGGGAGGUAGGGCAAAGAUAGGAUGAAGCCAACUGAAGCAUGAAAACUUCUGUCAGACCAUCAAGAGACAGACAAGACUUUACAACAAAUGGAACACUUAUUCUACCUUGAGAAUGAGAGCUCAUUGGAGUCAACACAUUUAAAGACUGAGUGAAGAACAUGCUGUCAUGGGCUGGGACAAUUAUUGCAAAAUCAAGAAGGUGGGGAGAUGGGCAACCAACUUCUUUUGAUUAGAAACAUGGAACUGACCCUUAUCUAGAUUGGGGAGGUUGGAAAAAGAGGGACUAUGUUGUUUGAUGGGCUCUGGUGGGACCAGUGUGGAAAAAAUUUUUUCCCAAGACUUGGAUGGAAAUUGGGGCUUAGAAUUUUAGGGAGGAGUUUCUAAGGGAGGAUAGGAAGGUAGUACAAAGGGAUUGGCCCUGUGUCUGUAUUCCCAUUCUUCUUUUGGAACUAUCUAUCCCAGGUCCUCCUGUUUUAGGCUCCACUGGAAGUUAGAGUAGUCAAAGGUGGGAUCCAAGGAAUUAAGGAGCUUCAGUUGGAGAAUUUCUGGCAGAGAGAGGGGUCUGUCCUUUCUCUCAAGAUGGACUCUACUCCUUUAGGGUUCUUUUUCUCUCCUCAUCUUUUGUUGAGAAUUUGGCUUCUCUCUGGAAGGUAGGAGUUUCUUUUUUCCAGCUAAGCCAAUCAAUGUCAUCAUCCACUUCUACAAUUUCUGUGCUUCCAGGGCAGGGAUAGUGAUCUAAGCAACCCUGCCUUCCCACUGAGCCCUUCUCCCCUCAGGUGGCUUUCUAUCAGGGCUUGGUUGGGGACCCCUCUUGCUUCUUAACCUCAUCUGUUUACGUUUUCCAUUUUUCUUAAAGCCAUAGGAAAAUGCCUAAAUGCGUGCCUUUGGGAGGUCUGGGAAGUGAGGAGGGACUCAAGAUACCUUACCCUUCUUGAUUUCCUUCCCUUACCUGGGGCUUAGUAUCAGUCCUCCUUUCCCAGAACGAAGGAGGCAAAGAAGGAGAUAAUUCCUUCUUUAGAUUGUUUUGUAUGCAAAUAGACUUUUGUCACUGUGCCUGAGACACCUUUCUAGAUGCUUAGAGGGAAUGAAAGAAAAAAAGAAAGGAAGGGAGGAGAAAAGGAAGGAAGAAGGGAGAGAAGGAAAGAAGAAAGGAAUGAAAGGAAGGAGGGAGGGGAAGAAGGAAGGAAAGGAAGGAAGGAAGGAAUGAGAAAAAAUGUUAUAGAUAGAAAGAUCUUGUUUUGGAAAGAAUGCUCUUUCUCACUAUAGGAAGUAGCUCAGUAUCUCCAAAAGAAAUUCAGGCCUUUAGCAUCCAAGGGAAAAAACCCUCCACUUACCAAGAUAAAGGGUAAUUCAGUCAAAGAAAGCAUUGCUGUGAUUCCCCAUCCCUUGAUAGGAGGCCAAUCUCUUGGAGUUCUUGAACAACAGGGAGUGGAGAGGGAUCAUGUGCUAGACCCUUGAAAGGUAAGAGAAGGAAGUAGGAGCAAAUUCUAUAUAAUUUGCUUUUAUCAGGUCUGAGCAUUCCCCCUUCAGGGACAUUUGGAAGCAAUACUUGGAUUUCCUUCAUGGACCUUAGGCUGCCUUUGUGAGGGGCAACCCCUAAAACCUCCCCUAUCUCCAAACCCAUGCUCUCACCCUGCAAUACACUCAUUUCCUUAGACCCAGAUAGUUUAAACUGAGACUGCUCCCCCCAAAAAAGAGCAAGAAGCAACAUUUAAAGGAUGCCAAAAACAGAAACUUAAAAGUUCCUUCUUGCUUUUAGAUGGCAAAUAAGCUCUGAAUAUGGGAACAUCGACAAGUAGGAAAAUGAAACUUUCCGUAGGUCAUCACACCGUGAAAAUAGGUCUUGUAUGUGCAGUAACUUUAAAUGUUCUCAUGAAUAUAUUGUCCAACCUCCCCCUCCUACCUCUAAAACACAAUUCACAUGUUGGUGAUUACUUGGGCUUCAGGAGAAUACCAGCAGAAGAGUUAAAAGGCACUUAUUUUAUCCACAAAGCAGAUUUGAGAUACAUACACUGAUUGUCUCUUGAAUCCCAAAGCAGGGAUAGAGGGAACAGAGGUUCUCUAAGGUCAGUAGUAUUUCUGAGAAUAGGGCUGGCUGGCAGUUAUAGAAAGCAGUAUAAUAGUUUAGCUGCCAAGCCUGAAGAGAAGCAUCUACCAAUUCUGUUCCUUUUUCAGAGCUGGGGUGAGAGUAAUAAGAAGGAAGAUUAAAAGGCCAGUGUGGACUUGCUCUUGCUGUUGCUGCUGAAGUUGAAAUGAGAAUGAACCACACAUAGCCUGUUAGGUUAUUCUGCCCACCUAAGAUAACAAUUUUAGUGGCUCUUCUGGACUUUGGUUUCCCUUCAGUGAAAAUAGGGGGACCAUUCUCCUCCUUUUACUUGAAAAAUGGUGGAGAUGAAUGUACAGGUCUUGAUCCUUUGGGAGACUGAAGGAGAGAAGAUUAGAAGAGUAAGGUAUAAGUGGUCCAUGAAGAUGAUGGGAAUUUUAUUCUGUUAUCACCCUCAGAGAUUUCGCUUCCACCUUUCAGGAGAUAGUGUCUCUGGCCAACUUGCCACCUGCUUCCCUGCUCUGUCUAUCAUUUAUUCCCAGAAAGUGAGGUGAAACUAUUUGAUUGAUUCCCUUUCCUGAUUGAAUCACUACCCUAAGUCAAGGUCUUCCUCCAAUUAUGGUCUCCAUAUUAAUGUUUGCACUUUGUUCCACAUUUAUCCCAUGUCUAAAGCCAGAGUCAAAGGGGUUUUGUGGUAAGAGUCUUGGGAACUUGAAGUAAAUCAAACCUUUCAGGUUCCAUUCAUCUGAUUCAUUGUGGGAGCGGAGGGGAUUCUCUUAGUCUCCCUGUGCCUUGGUUUCCCUAUAUGAAAGAAAGGGAUAAAAUUGACUCUGUACACUUUUCCUCUUCCCUGUCCUCCUCCCUGCUUUCCACAAGCAUAUGUAUGAUUAGGAUUGUUAAGUAUUUGGAAUUCUUAGAAUUUGAUAGCUGUCCAGGGUCCUGGCUCAGGGAACAGAGGGGCAAAGGGACCUUUGGAGAUCCCUAGCUCCUAUCUCAGGUUGAAUUUCUUAGUAUUUACAAAGUAUUUUCCUUUCCAGUUUUCCAGGGAAGGAAUUCUGAAUGUAAAGGACAUGGGGAGAGAAUAUGUAUAUAUUAUAUAUGUAUAUAUGCACACAUAUACAAACUCAUAAUGCAAUAAUUUAGUCAGCUGCAAUAUGAAGAUAAAGAUUUAGCUAUACUUAGUUCCACACAUCCCCUGUACUGUAACCAGAAUGAGUGCUGUUCUGUGCUACUUUGGCAUGGUGGAAUUGUGGGAAGGAAAUUAUAUCAGCAUUUGUAAAAACAUGGUUGGGGGUGAGGACACAGAGAACUGGUGCUCCUGUCCCUAGAAUGCCUCCAAAAGAUCCAUGCUCUAUACUGUCCUAUCAUUCCUUUCUUGCUAUAGAUGAGUCCUUAAAAAGCUCUUAUGGCCGGUUUAGACUGCCUUCUCUAUCUUUCUCUCUAUCUCUGUAUCUUUCUCUCUGUCUCUGUCUGUCUGUCUUUCUCUCUUUCUCUCUCUCACACACACACACACAUGUUCAUAUAACACACAUUCACAUGCUUAGGUAUUUACUCUCUCUAGCCUACCAUCUUUCCCACCACCCCAGAAACAAUCUUUGACAUAUUUUAGGGUCUUUACUGAAAAUACUUAAAAGAAUAAAAAAUUAUUCAGUCCUUUCCCUCUGCCCCAUCUGAGUAAACUACUAGUGAACUACAUAAUUGCUAAUGAGUUCCUAUCCAAAGUGAUUGCACAAAUUUAUGGUAAUAUGAAGUCUAAGAAUCUGCCCCCUCUACUGACUAAACAUGCAUUUUGCACAUGGAAUUCAGGAUCCCACUGAUGGGUUUACAGUGUGGCAGGGUUAUACAGAAGUAGGAGAAACUAAAAUGACAUGAAAUGAACUUGUAAUCAAAAUACCCCAGUUUCCAAGGUGGUACCAUUCCUGACUCUCCUGUGGAAUCUGGGAAAGUCAUUUCUCUAAGUCUCAGUUUUCCCCAUCUAUAGAAUGGGGGAAAUGAUUCUCAUUCCUCCUUUACCUCCUUUACCAGGCAAGGGUGGUGAGAUUGAAUUUGAACAGAUUAUUUAACAUAGUAUGAAUUAAGAGUCUAAAAUUAAGAGUAUGAAAUAAUUCAUAGACUAUCAUUGAAUUUAGUACAAGAUGGGACAUUGGAAAUCAUCUAGUCCAAACUCCUCAUUUUACAUAUAAAGAGUAUAACCAAAAUGAUCCAGAUAGUUUUGUGGAAGCUCACGGGAACCCAGUUCAUAGAAAUUUAGAUUUGGGGGAUUUAAACCAUAUACCUUAUAUAUAGGUAAAGACAAUGAGUAACUUGCCACAUAGGGGAUAAGUUGGACCUUUGAAGUCCUCUAAUUUUACAGUUGAAGAAACUGAAAUCCAAGUUAAGUAGCAGACCAAGGACUUGCAGCAAAUAUUUCAAGUUUAAAUCUGUGUCCUUUCUCCCCAUAACAAUGGAAUACACCCCAAUUUAUAAACUUGCAAAUGGCCACUAAAGCCUUUUCUUUGAGUGGGUUAAGUGCAUUCUUUGAGCUACUUUACUAUUCAUGAAGUCUUAAUAUUCGAAGAAAUAACUAUUUUUAUAGCAAAAUAUAUAUCAAUUACAUGUAAGAUAAUUAACUUGAUGUGACUGAUUCAAGAAAUAUUCAGUUUCUUGAGCCAUGGAGCAAGGGUUAGUCACAGCUGCCAUCUCCUUGCCUACUUAAAUCCUCUGAUUCCCUAUUCUACACCCCCAUCCCUGCCAAUUUUGGGAAAAGAAAGAGGGUUAAAAAAAAAAGGAAAAAAAAUGUAAUAACCCACUGCUUGUUAAAGAUUCAGGACUAGAGCUUUGAUCUUUUGAAGAAAAUUCUAUCUUGGACCUCUUAUAUGCUACCUAUACCUGAGUCCUCUUCUCUAAAUUGCUUUUUCAUGCUCUUAAUUUUAGGAGCUAUAGGUCUGAAACACAAGGAAUAGAGACAGAUUAUUCUGUGAAGUACAGAGUUGCAGCCCUGGCUGAUGGUAUCAGCGAGGCACUGGGUGGCAAAUGGUGGGAGCAUGAGUUCAGAGUCUUUAUCCUGGCUAGAGUCUGUGAAGCCUAUUUAGACCUAAUGGUCUCUUUCUGAAUAAGGAUAAUCUUACUGUUCCUAUAUACUAUUUCCUCAGGAAGCUUUUGUAUUUUGCAAAAACCCUGUAGCUCUGUGAAUUUUCCCCAGUCUUCCUAGUGGGGCACCUGGCCACUCCCUGCCCCGUUUUGAGGCAGUCUCCUCUAUGGCAACCACUUUUUAUAUUCCAUCUAAGAUUCAAAGUGCAGGGGGGAGGAAGAGGCAGAAGGAAACAGUUGUCAGAGAGAGAUGGCUGGACUCAGGCGAAAUCCUCAGGACUCUCCCAGCCUCCGUCACCAUGGCAACGUAGUUAUUUUUAGCCAGUUACUCAUGAUGCUAGGAGCACUGACUCUCUCUGCUCCAGAGAGGCCAGACUGGCCUCUGCCCUCAUCCUUCCGUGUUGUCCCUCCUUUCAGAGACCUGAGGUGGAGGAGACAAAUGGAGGGACAGGAGGCCUGCUAGGUGACCUCCCAGCUGGGCAUCCUACUCCAGAGGGACACAGUUCUGAGGGCUGUCAGCCCCCACACCUUUGGUUUUGUGUCUGUCUUAGGAAUCUAGUUCCUAAGUGAUCAAACGUUUUCUCCUCUCUUUAGGCAGUUACCCCAGAGAAAAACAGCUGUCACUCUAGGAGAGUUAUCACUCGGGGCAGUGAAUCUGAGGAAUCUUUUCCCUGAUGGUUAAACAAGCAGAUUCUGAGGGAGUUUGUUGCCAACCCUAGGGAAUACAUUGUCCAUAUCCUGAAAGGACAUAGAGAAAUUAAGUUGGAUGAUUAGUAGUCAAGUAAGUUGAUACUGGGAACAUAUAUUUUUUAGUCCUCCAGAAUUAAAAACAGGUAACAAAGAGGACUUUGGGCUUUUGAAAACCCAAGAUGAAGCUUGCAGUCACCCUUCAGGCUAGGAAAUGGAAUCAUGGGUUCCUCCCCUUUCCAAGAAUAACCAUGCUUCCAUUUCCCUUUCCUCCUCAGGACUGAAGGUAUUCUUCCUCUUGCCAUUCACAUUCUCACUCUCUUCAUCUCUUCCUAGACCCCAUCCUUCUCCACUUUCCCCUACCCUUUCUUCCAGGAUGGCAGGAAAACCUUAGGGAGACAAUGGUGCUACUAUUUCCCCUCAUUAUUUAUUCCAAUAUUAGUCAGUAGCCCUUGAACCCAGCGCAUGUAGUUGGGGUGAGGAUGCUCUUAUGCAAACCCUCUCAAAUCCUGGCAUUUCUGUGAAGCCACAAUCUCAGAGAAAGUUCCUGAGCCAGUAAAGUAAUAAACUGGAUCUGUCUCUUACACUGAAAUCUUCCUCUACCAAGCUGUCUCUGAUUAUUCAUUUUCCAGGGGUAGCAGGGACCCAUUUACUUGGCAAAUAAUUGGUUUCCUUCUGGCUCAAGUUGUCCCUUUCCUGAACCUAUGCACCUGGAGUAAGCACUUUUCUCAUUCAUGCUGAAAAACAUGCCUGUAAAUGCUGCUCUGUUAAUUGCUGUAAUAAAUGGACUUUAUUAUAUCCCUUUGCAGUAAAUGGAUUAUGGUGUCAUUGUGGAUGGGGCC
Sarcophilus harrisii (Tasmanian devil) is the source of this 7424-nucleotide long non-coding RNA. Lineage: Eukaryota; Metazoa; Chordata; Mammalia; Dasyuromorphia; Dasyuridae. The record is from Ensembl.